UUGUAGAUGUCAGCUCAUUACUUGUGACAGUGAGGGACUGGCUAGCUAAUCUCAACCUUGGUUCAACAGCAAAGUGAACUUUCUCACCAAGGAUGGCCAUUCUUGAAAAGACAUAUCUGGGUCAGUGAGUGCAGCUUCAGAAAAAGACCACUGAUCACCUGAUUUCCUGCAUCUUCCAGAUCAACAGCCUGAUUCAACUGGUCCUUCUUUGAACGACAUCUUUCUAUGUCUGCUCAUGUAGCCUGAUAAACUCCUUAAUGGACACUGAAUUAAACUCUGAAGUUGGACACUAGUCUAGCUAUAUGGUUGCAAGAGCAUGCCUUUAUUCUAAAGGAAGUGAAAAGUUAAAAAAUACAUUGAGGCCAAGUAUGGCAGCUCACAUCUGUAAUCCCAGCACUUUGGGAGGCAGACAGGUGAUUUGUUUGAGCUCAAGAGUUUGAGACCAGCUGGGCAACAUGGUGAAACCAUGCCUCUAAAAACAAUACAAAAAUUAGCUGAGCAUGGUAGUGCAUGCCUGUAGUCCCAGCUACUUGGGAGGCAGAGAUGGGAGGAUCAGUUGAGCCCUGGAGGCAGAGAUUGUAGUGAGCCAAGGUAGCACCACUGUACUCCAGCCUGGCCAUCAGAGUGAGACCCUGCCUCAAAAAACAAAAACAAAAAAUCCAACAACUAUGGAAAAGAAUCUUAGCCCAGUUAAGACACUAAUUAAUUUCCUAAUUUCUUUAAUCAUUUAGUGCAGCACUGUCCAAUGUAACUUUUUUCAAAGAUGGGGAUGCUCUAUUUCUGUACUGGCCAAUUCAAAAGCCACUAGUCACAUAUGGUUAUUGAGCACUUGAAAUGUAGCUAGUGUGGCUGAGGAGCUGAAUUUUUAACUUAAUUUAAUUUUAUUUCACAUACAUUCAAAUUUAAAUAGCAACAUGUGUCUGUGGCUACUGGUUCAGAAGCAUGGAUUUACUCUAUUCCUUUAUAUUCUGUGACAGAACAAUAACUAAUUUAUUAGAGGCAAAUAUCGAACUUAAUUCAUUUGUUAUGAUAAGAUCUUUGUAGAAUCUUAAGAAGAAAAGAAAAAAAAAGGCAAUGAACUUUGAAAUGGGGGUCUAACCAUACAGCUCCAGGGCAAUGAGUUAAGCUUACCAUCAUUUACGUGUCGUUGUAAAAUGACAUAUCUAUCUUUGUAGCUGCAAGCACACCUCAAGAACUAUGGGAACUCUGACAAAGGUGAGAAUGUUUGAAACAUAUUCAGUCACGUUUCCCAGAAGCUGGCUGAGAUCCUGGACAGGGUUGAGGACCUAGCCUUUUCUGAUGAAAACCUUGUCCCUUGAUAAAAUUGUUUGGCUCUCAUUUUAAACUAUUGCAGCAGUUAAGAGAUAAAGGAAUUAUCUUGGCAUUUUGAAAUUGUUUCUUUUAAUUUCUCGGAGUUCAAUUUAGUGUUUUCUUAAAAAAAAAAAGCUUCAUUAGCAUUCAUGUGCAAAAUGUUAUUCAAACUUUAAAAAUAGAAGAUGUUAAAGUUGAGGUAAUGUAUCUGAUUGGGAAAUUGAGGACUAAGCUCUGAUUUUUUAUCUUACCCAAAUUCCUACCUAAGGGGUCUAGGGAGUCAUGCCCUACAAACUAUAAAUUCUCAUCAGAUGGGUUUUAUUUCGCCCUGUAUAUUGUGGCUUACUUUUCAGUCUGACUCUGGCAUAACAUUAUGAGACAAGGAAAAAAAAAAUUUAACUCCAAAAUAUAUUUCCUUGCCAUACUUUAAAAUUGCCCUGCAACAUCUCUUAGAAAAAUCCACAUUCUAUAGAGAAUCCCCUUCCCCCUUUGUUCUCCUUCCUCCCUUCCCAGAUCCAGGAGAUAAUCAGCUAAAAGCCAGGCACCCUUUUAAGUCCGAUGAAAAACAAUUUACAACUUGCUCUCUCUAAAGCCUGUUACCUAAGAGCUUCCUCUGCACAAUAAAACUUGGUGUCCACAAGCCUUUAUCUUUAACCUGAAUAUUCCUUUCUAUAGAUCCCAGGUCUUCAGACAACCUCAACCAAUUGUCAACCACAAAAUGUUUAAAUUGACCAAUAGCCUGGAAGCCCCUGCUUUGAGUUGUCCUGCCUUUCUAAACCAAACUAAUGUAAUUCUUAAAUGUAUUUGACUGAUGUCUCAUGCCUUCCUAAAAUACAUAAAACCACGCUGUACCGCAACUACCGUGGGCACAUGUUCUCACGACCCCCUGAGGGCUGUGUCACUAGCCGUGAGCACUCAUAUUUUGUUCAGAAUAAAUCUCUUCAAAUGUUUUACAGAAUUUGACUCUUUGUCAACAGGUUAUUUUAUUCCUGAACUGGAAAUCCAAAGAAACAAAGAAAAAGGCCAGUUAAACAGAGAGACAUAUUACUGACUGCAGAGAGCACUUCCAUUGUAAGGCCUGAGAGAAAAUAUUUUAUUAUAGUACCAAGAUGAGAAACUUCAUACAGAAUCAGUUUGAUCAACUUUAAGAUAUAGCGCUCUGGGUUCCACAUGCUUCUGUGGCCAUUAAGAGGCCCUUUUGCAGAAAAGUUUUAAUUAAAGGUAGCUAAAUCUGGAAUUAGUGUCCUUUAUCUUCCUUUUUAAUGAGAUGACUCUAGAGAAGAUGUAGCUGUACAGAGAAGACAGGGGAAAGGAAAGAGGUGAGUUGAGAAAUAAUUAAAAACAUGAAAACUUCUAAUAUUCAAAUGUGAUUAAAAAUAAGGUGAUAUAGGCACCAAACCCCCAGUCUUCCUCCUUUCCAGAUUCUCCUUCAAGGGCCCCAAAAAUCUACAGCUUGUGUGGUUUUGAGUGUCCAUAGAAUGACUUUCCAGUUAUUCCCCAGUUUUUUCAGGAUAUCCUUGUAAUAUCCUCAUUUUUGUUAGACAGAAAUCAGCUCCACUGCAACAUGAAUUUUGGGCAACUUGCUUUGUUCAACAGAAUACUGAGUCUGUGUGUCUGUGCAGCAAAGGUGACAGGGUUCCUUCCUUCCUUCCUUCCUUCCUCCCUCCCUUCCUUCCUUCUUUCCUUCCCCCUCCCUCCCUUCUUUCCUUCCUUCCCUCCCUCCCUUCCUCCCUCCCUCUCUCCCUUUUUUGUUCCUUCCCUCCCUUCCUCCUUCCUUCCCUCCUUCCUUCCCUACCUCCCUCCUUCUUUUCUGUCAUAUUGCUUGCCUGAUGUGGGUGGGAAUUAUAAGAUUGACUCAGCAAAAAUAAUAUUUUAAUAAUUUGGCUUUCAAAAUAUUUGUGAAACCCACUGUCUCUAAGCCAGGCUUGAAUAGGAGCAUUGCUGGAUUUCCAUAGUAAGCUGGGAAUCACACAGUUAUGAAACCCUCCUCCUCUGUUACCCAUCCUCACCUGCAUCUCUAAGAGACAUAAAAGAAUAUUUGUCUUUUUAUUUUCAAUACUUCUUUUAUUUAUCUUAUUAAGUCUGUAUUUUUGCAUAGAAAUGAGGAGAUGUUUUACUGUUUAUAUCACUGUCACUUGUCAGGCAAUUGAUUUA
This 3465-nucleotide long non-coding RNA is filed under the name Homo sapiens (human). Its description in RNAcentral is "HSALNT0114726". The record is from RNAcentral. Lineage: Eukaryota; Metazoa; Chordata; Mammalia; Primates; Hominidae.